RNAcentral lists this ribosomal RNA (403 nucleotides) under uncultured bacterium. Its description in RNAcentral is "partial 16S ribosomal RNA". It matches the Rfam family "Bacterial small subunit ribosomal RNA", at positions 29 to 526 of the family's 1533-position model. The record is from RNAcentral.
AUUGAACGCUGGCGGCAGGCCUAACACAUGCAAGUCGAGCGAGCGGCGGACGGGUGAGUAAUGUAUGGGGACUGCCCGAUAGAGGGGUAUAACUACGGGAAACGGUGGCUAAUACCGCAUACUAUCGGAUAACCCAUAUGGGAGUAGAUAGUAGGGGGGGUAAAGGCGCACCUAGGCGACGAGCGCUAGCUGGUCUGCGAGGAUGAUCAGCCACACUGGGACUGAGACACGGCCCAGACUCCUACGGAGGCAGCAGUGGGGAAUAGUGCACAAUGGGCGCAAGCCUGAUGCAGCCAUGCCGCGUGGAUGAAGAAGGCCUUCGGGUUGUAAAGUACUUUCAGUGAGGAGGCGUGACUCGAACAAGAAGCAACGGCUAACUCCGUGCCAGCAGCCGCGGUAAUAC